Molecule: unclassified non-coding RNA, 345 nt
Filed under: soil metagenome
Description: partial contains 5.8S ribosomal RNA, internal transcribed spacer 2, and large subunit ribosomal RNA
Rfam family: 5.8S ribosomal RNA (bases 1-119)
Source: RNAcentral
GAUGAAGAACGUAGCGAAAUGCGAUAAGUAAUGCGAAUUGCAGAAUCCGUGAGUCAUCGAAUCUUUGAACGCACAUUGCGCCCUUUGGUAUUCCGAAGGGCAUGCCUGUUCGAGCGUCAUUAUCACCCCUCAAGCCCCGGCUUGGUGUUGGGCUCUCGGUGGUCGUCUCCGACCACCCGUCUCAAAGAUAGUGACGGCGUCCCAGAGGGAACCGGUACGAGGAGCUUUCACGAGCAUGUACGCGGGACGACUCUGCGGGCGACGGUCUUAUUUACUUUAUAUACAAGUGUUGACCUCGGAUCAGGUAGGAAUACCCGCUGAACUUAAGCAUAUCUAAGCGGAGGA